GGGCCCGCACAAGCGGUGGAGCAUGUGGUUUAAUUCGAUGCAACGCGAAGAACCUUACCUACUCUUGACAUCCAGAGAAGCCAGCGGAGACGCAGGUGUGCCUUCGGGAGCUCUGAGACAGGUGCUGCAUGGCUGUCGUCAGCUCGUGUUGUGAAAUGUUGGUUAAGUCCCGCAACGAGCGCAACCCUUAUCCUUGUUUGCCAGCACGUAAUGGUGGGAACUCCAGGGAGACUGCCGGUGAUAAACCGGAGGAAGGUGGGGACGACGUCAAGUCAUCAUGGCCCUUACGAGUAGGGCUACACACGUGCUACAAUGGCAUCUACAGUGGGUUAAUCCCCAAAAGAUGUCUCAG
RNAcentral lists this ribosomal RNA (352 nucleotides) under uncultured bacterium. Its description in RNAcentral is "bacterial SSU rRNA". It matches the Rfam family "Bacterial small subunit ribosomal RNA", at positions 917 to 1291 of the family's 1533-position model. The record is from RNAcentral.